GACGAACGCUGGCGGCGUGCUUAACACAUGCAAGUCGAGCGGUAAGGCCCUUUCGGGGGUACACGAGCGGCGAACGGGUGAGUAACACGUGGGUGACCUGCCCUCAGCUCUGGGAUAAGCCCGGGAAACUGGGUCUAAUACCGGAUAUGACACAUCGUUGCAUGAUGGUGUGUGGAAAGUUUUUCGGCUGGGGAUGGGCCCGCGGCCUAUCAGCUUGUUGGUGGGGUGAUGGCCUACCAAGGCGACGACGAGUAGCCGGCCUGAGAGGGCGACCGGCCACACUGGGACUGAGACACGGCCCAGACUCCUACGGGAGGCAGCAGUGGGGAAUAUUGCGCAAUGGGCGGAAGCCUGACGCAGCGACGCCGCGUGGGGAUGACGGCCU
This 385-nucleotide ribosomal RNA is filed under the name uncultured bacterium. Its description in RNAcentral is "bacterial SSU rRNA". It matches the Rfam family "Bacterial small subunit ribosomal RNA", at positions 28 to 417 of the family's 1533-position model. The record is from RNAcentral.